CCUAGAGUUGUAGGCUUUGCCUGCUAUCUCUUACCCAUGUCUUUUGAGUACUUACGUUUCCUCGGCGGGUCCGCCCGCCGAUUGGGCAAUUUAAACCAUUUGCAGUUGCAAUCAGCGUCUGAAAAACUUUAAUAGUUA
Molecule: unclassified non-coding RNA, 138 nt
Filed under: soil metagenome
Description: partial internal transcribed spacer 1
Source: RNAcentral